This is a long non-coding RNA of Enhydra lutris kenyoni (northern sea otter), 2832 nucleotides long. RefSeq lists it as uncharacterized. Lineage: Eukaryota; Metazoa; Chordata; Mammalia; Carnivora; Mustelidae. The record is from RefSeq and is a predicted model, not a curated record. The transcript has 3 exons.
UUAUUAGACUGUUCCAUGACAAAAAUGAACAAACACACACAUGGUAAAUUUGGUUUGGAGUACGGAGUCUUAUCAAUGUUUUCCAAGUAGAAACGCUUACUUACAAAAGUAUUUUCAGAUCUCAGUGACUGAUGCUGGAAAGAGCUGUAGGGAGUUUCCUCAAACUUCAGUUGUAGCAGCACUCUACUUUAACAGAACUGGUCAAUCCAGUGGCAUAAUUAUAGGGGAUAAUUUUCAGGUGAGGUGUGAGGUGCCUUCCAAAAAGACUAUAGAGUCUCUUCAGUCCUUCGGAGUCACGAUAACACAGUCUAAACUCUGAAAACUAUUUUAUUGUCAUGGAAAUCUUCAAUUUUAUCAGCUGACAUUAGAGAAUGUCUAUCAGGCAUCCAGAAAAACAAUGACUCGGUUGUUACCCUCAAAGAACCCACCGACAGCCUAGCAGAAAAUGCCAACUAUGUUCUCCCUCAUAUCGUUUCAUUGAAUUCCUACAACCUUGAGGUAAGUAUGGUUACCAUCACGUCCCACCAGGAAAGAAACUAAGGCUAAGGGAUUCCACCCCAAAUCACACAGCCAAUAAAUAACAGGCCACCAAACCCGUGGGUAUUGAUGGGCACCAGUUAGAGUAGGGAGUCCAAAUCCUAAGCAUGCUGUUCAGUUUUUCCUAUCAAAUGACGAGUCCCCCAUUUCACGGGUACCAUUGACUUCUAUAUCUCCUUGGACCCAGGAUGAAGAGCCUGGCACCUCCUGGUCACAACCAGGCUGUUCGAAGCCUCGGCGCCACCAGCUCGGCAGAGAGUCCAGUGCGCAUGCCUGGGCCUGGGGGACCGGCCGAGCCCUGAGGGUCUGAGAACGAAACCUGCCCGAGGUGCCUCAGCGCCCCAACCCAGGACCCCUCAGAGACUCGCUCCCGGCCGCCCAGGCCAGACCCGUCUCCUGAGGGCAGAAACCCACGAAGCGCGGCCAUCAGCCCCGAGGCCCAAGCAGGCGCUGACUGAGGGGCGGCAGGGGAAGCGGUCCUCAUGGGCCGAGCGAGACUCGGUGGGCCGCGGGGCCGAACGAAGGCGCGCUGCGGGGCCUCUCCCCUUGCUGCCGGGCUGCCCGCCUUCCUGCCCGGGACGGGCCCGCCGAGGCGUGCGCAGCGGGCCCGCUUGCGACCCCUCGGAGGCAUGGGGCUCCGUCCCGCCAGCCGCCCGCGUGCAGGCCUGAGGCCCGAGCCCCUGCCUCUGGCUGCCAGCCCGCGCUCGGCGUUCACCGCGCUCGGCCGGGGCCCGCCUCUAAGCCGUUUUCGCUUUCGCUUUCCUGCCGCCGUCGUUGAGGAAAAUGAAAGUGACCGUGGCGGUGGCCCGGACUCGCGCAGCAGCUCGUCGGAGCGAGGGGCGCAGAGAGCGGCGGCAGUCGGCGUGGAGCCGCGAGCUGGGGCCGCUGCCCGCACCAGACUAGGUGGCAGCACGCCCUGGACUUCUCUGCCCUGCGAGCAGUGCCCAGGCUGGACUGCAGAAAAAUAAGAAAAUGGACUCCCAGCUGCCAUCUGCAAUGUGCCAGAGUUUGUAGCCUUUUGGAGGAAGACCACAACAAGGUAAGAGAAUAAUAAGACUGUGUCUAGUUUGGGACUUCCAAACUUACAAGGCCUUGGAAGGUAUUCAAGGAAGACCAGGAUGUUGGAAGUGUUGGCAGCUAGAUGAAGCGAAGGUCCAGAGGACUCAUCUUGACUUCCUGGAUAGAGUGUGGGUGCUGGGACAGUGAGGACAGCGCAGUAUUUAACAGUGGAUCAUCAGCGGUGGCUGCAAGGUCUCAGACCCAAGAAGAUUGUGCUCCCCUUGGGAAGACAGGGCAACCUCCCCCAAGCCAGUCGGCUGUGUCCAUAGCCUGGCUCUCCUGCUCUGCCUCCCCGGCCUCCCUCCAGGCCUCUGUCUUUCACCCCUUGCUUUUCCUCCAGGCCUGCUGAAGUCAGGGUGUCCUGGGCAUUCUUUCUUUCUUUCUUUCUUUCUUUUUUUUUUUUAAGCAAGGAUGGUUUGGAUGUAGAUGUAGAGAAAUAUAGGAUGCUUCCUGCAUAGGGAUUCUCUGAUCCUGGGUUAAACCACAGUCCAAAUUUUAAAGAGUGAAAACACUCAGUAAAUAAUGGCUGUGGGGAAUUGUGUACCAAUGUGCAUAGUGUUAAAAAUGUGUCCAGCAUUGGACCAAGCGAUUCCACUUUCUGGAAUUUAUCCUAGGAAAAUAAUCACAGUUAUGCAAAGAUGUGUGUACAAAGAUAAUUUGUCACUGCAUUGUUUUUAUAAGAAAGAGUGAGAGAGAGGAAGGAAGGAAAGAGAAAAGAAAGGAAAAGAAUUGGAAAGCCCAAGAAAAAGGAAUUAGUCCUUUAAAAUCUGGCACAUCCACACAAGAGCAUGUCACACAGCAGGAUGACCUAGGUGUGUAGUUAAUGGCAAGAAAGAAGUUUGCAUAUAUUACUAAGUUAAGGAACAAACAAACAAAAAAAAAAGGAAAUGUAAAAAACUCAGCAAACAUGCAAAGUGAGUGGCUUGGGAAACAGGCUGGAGGGCUGAAAUCCAGGUCAGUCUCUUUUAACCCAUGUGAGAGCUCAGGCAGGUGAUUUGAUCUCCCUAAGCUUCUACUUCUUUCCAGUAGAAUGGGCAUAAUAACACAGGUCUUGCAGAGUUAUAAGAAUUGGGUGGGAUUAAUACAUCUAAAGACCUGGGCACAGAUUCCAGCCUGUAUUGAGUGUUCAGCAGGUGGGCACCCAGAUGAGGUGUGAACCAGUAGUAUUUUUACUUGUGUAUAAGCCUGGAAACGUUCUGGAAAUUCAUAGUCAAGUAGUGGUUUUAUUUGGCUGGU